GUGUUGAGUCCUAUCACUCACUCAACAGCACAUAUACUAAAACUUGGAACAAUAGAGAUAUUAGCAUGGCCCUUGCGAAAGGAUGACAAAGUGAUGAAUCCUAUCUACAAUAAUUAA
Vulpes vulpes (red fox) is the source of this 117-nucleotide small nuclear RNA. The record is from Ensembl. NCBI's taxonomy places the organism in Eukaryota, Metazoa, Chordata, Mammalia, Carnivora, Canidae.